This 146-nucleotide unclassified non-coding RNA is filed under the name soil metagenome. Its description in RNAcentral is "partial internal transcribed spacer 1". The record is from RNAcentral.
CCGAGUUUACAACUCCCAAACCCCUGUGAACAUACCUUAUGUUGCCUCGGCGGAUCAGCCCGCGCCCCGUAAAAGGGACGGCCCGCCGCAGGAACCCUAAACUCUGUUUUUAGUGGAACUUCUGAGUAUAAAAAACAAAUAAAUCA